CCUUCGAAAGCUCAGUUGGUGGAGCAGGGGACUUGGGAUUUAUAACUCUGAUUCCUAGGUCGCUGGUUCGAAUCCAGGUCGAAGAA
Molecule: transfer RNA, 86 nt
Filed under: Nematostella vectensis (starlet sea anemone)
Lineage: Eukaryota; Metazoa; Cnidaria; Anthozoa; Actiniaria; Edwardsiidae
Rfam family: tRNA
About the family: Transfer RNA (tRNA) molecules are approximately 80 nucleotides in length. Their secondary structure includes four short double-helical elements and three loops (D, anti-codon, and T loops).
Source: Rfam by way of RNAcentral